UAAAUUACCCUGUGAAUGAGUUUAAGAAGAAGAGUUCUGAAAUAAAGAACGCAAUUCGAAACCCUGACUGAUGGAAUCUGAAUCAUCACUUGUUCUUCCAUGGCAUUGGGUGAUUGAAGCCCUAGCUGGUUUCAAAGAAAUCACCUUACCCACUUUACAAGCUUUGAUUGAUGCUUCCCUUUUAACGCAUCAUGAUUUUUCUGAAACUACCAAAGAUUUGAUUGCUUUGAAGUGUUUGGAGGAACUUUACCCUUCUUCUUCUUCUUCAACAACAACAUUGGAGGAACUUGAUUCUUCGCUUUCAUCCCAAGACGUUCUUCUUCAAAUAUUGCAUCAGGUAUCGUUAUCAAAUCUAAGAACUUCUGGACCGGAGCUUUUCAAAUGGGAUGUUAACAGAUUUAUCGCGCACAAACGAGCCGACAAUGUCAAAUGUCAGUUAGAGAAGCUGAAAGAAUCAAUACUGGACGGUACUCUACCACUUAAUGAUCACUUAAAAGAAAGGAGUGGCUUAUUCCAAACGAAUCGGGCUCAUACUGGCAAAUGCUAUGGGUACUCCACUUACGCACAAGACAGUGGAGAAAAAGAGAAUUCAGUGUCUUUAAUACCAGAGGAUAAUAAUUGCUUAUCUUCUAAGAGGAAUAGGGUUUACUCAGCUAAUGAACAUGAACCUGAUUUGCAUCUUAAAGGUUCAAAUCUUUCUCAGAAGACAGUUAGCAGUGAUAAAUCUCAAGACGAUACAUCUGUGUAUCAAUGUGAAAAUCUUAAUCUCGUGAUGAAAAGGCGCAAAAAGGAUAGUCAUGAUAAGAAGUUUAACAAGGGCAGUCAAUUACUGGUUAGUGAAGCUACUAGUGUUCCACUAUUGGUUCCUGAAAGUUGUAUUGGCAUGCUGACUAACAUUUAUCCUCGGCAUACAUCUGGAGUUGAGCCUUGCCGUAACAAAUUAAUAGAUGAAGCUAAUGAUACUGUACAUGUUGAGCCCAUUCCAACAAACGAUGAUGGUAAUGCAGAUAAAGUUCAGCAUAUGACUGAUGAAUCUCAACCCAAACAAAAGGAACCAAAUGUUGCAUCUUUAAAGGGCUCGCAAAAGCCAGCUGCUAGUGAUAAAGCUGUAGUUGAUACUGUCAAUGAUUGUGGAGCAGAGUUAUCAAGUGACAGUGAUGUGUAUUACAAUGAAAAGAUUGAUCUUACAGCGAUAAAGGCUGAAUUCCUGAGUUCCCAGCAUGCUUCCGGUCAAGAUUUGCCAGCAAUGACUGAAUCAAGAGGACAAAACCUCUGCAGUAAAUGCAAUGAAGCUGGCCAAUUACUGGUUUGUACUACUUGCCCAUUGAUGCUGCAUAAAAACUGCCUGGGUGAUUCUGCUCAGUUGGAAGCAAAGGGAAACUUUCUCUGCCCAUUUUGUAAAUAUUCUCACGCUAUUUCAGAAUAUCUUGAAGCCAAGAAAAUAUCUUCUUCGGCAAGGAAAGAAUUAGCUAUCUUCAAUAGUAAGGGUUCUAUAGAAAAUUAGGCCUUACCUGGUUGGGGCGGCUGAUGGAUCUCUUGAAUUGGUAGUCACUGGGGAGCCAAUUGUAAAGGUAUGAAUCACAGGUCCAGCUGCUGGUGUCAUAACUGUUCGUGUUGCUGGUACACAAAAAUUGCGAGAAAAAGUAUCUGCCAUAGCAGUUCAGCUGUUAUGAUAUUUUGAACUUCGAUGUUAAAACUGUAUCGAAAUGAGAUGAGUUCGAACUGAUGGAGUGUCGAAGCUAUUUGUGAAAUUUGCGCUAAUACGAGGUUUGAAGGACAAGGUUGUUUGUAUGUUGGAGCUUAUUUGUACUUGUGUUAAGGUAGCGAAGAAAGUUAUCUAUUAUCUGGGUGGUAAGAGCAGAAUUAGGCAAUUUAACAUGUAGGGUCACAGUUCAAACUACCUUACGAUAUGAUAUUUCUUUAUAUUUGUCUGCUAAGGACAUUGAACAUAUUGCCACUAACAUCAGAUCUCUUUUAGGUAUACUAGUCAAGGAGAGGUAUCUAUCAAUUAUGUUAAUAGUAAGAAAGAGUGCCUCUGUCUGCAAUUCAAGACGAUAAUGUACUUUAACCAACCAGUCCACAUUCAAAUUAUUAAUAGCAUCUUCUGUUUCCAUGUCAACAUCAUGAUUCUCUGGCUCAAAUGUCAAAGAUCCGGCGAACAGGCUACGAAAAUGCAUUACAGUUUAGAAAUUCACCAAGAAAAAUCAGGGUGGGGGAUAGAGCGUUUUGUAGUCAGCUUGUAUAAUUGGUGUAACUUAUCAAGAUAUUCAGCUUUUGCCAUAUUAUUAAUAGUAUCAUCUGCACCCAUGUUAA
RNA transcript from Medicago truncatula (barrel medic), 2313 nucleotides. RefSeq lists it as uncharacterized. The transcript is spliced from 5 exons. The record is from RefSeq and is a predicted model, not a curated record. Lineage: Eukaryota; Viridiplantae; Streptophyta; Magnoliopsida; Fabales; Fabaceae.